CCUACGGGUGGCAGCAGUGAGGAAUAUUGGUCAAUGGCCGCGAGCCUGAACCAGCCAAGUAGCGUGAAGGAUGACUGCCCUACGGGUUGUAAACUUCUUUUAUAGAGGAGUAAAGUGAGGCACGUGUGCCUUUUUGUGUGUACUUUAUGAAUAAGGAUCGGCUAACUCCGUGCCAGCAGCCGCGGUAAUACGGAGGAUCCGAGCGUUAUCCGGAUUUAUUGGGUUUAAAGGGAGCGUAGAUGGGUUGUUAAGUCAGUGGUGAAAGUUUGCGGCUCAACCGCAAAAUUGCAAUUGAUACUGGUAGUGUUGAGUACAGGUGAGGUAGGCGGAAUUCGUGGUGUAGCGGUGAAAUGCUUAGAUAUCACGAAGAACUCCGAUUGCGAAGGCAGCAUACCAAAGUGCAACUGACAUUGAUGCUCGAAAGCGUGGCUAUCAAACAGGAUUAGAUACCCGGGUAGUC
Molecule: ribosomal RNA, 460 nt
Filed under: uncultured bacterium
Lineage: Bacteria
Description: partial 16S ribosomal RNA
Rfam family: Bacterial small subunit ribosomal RNA
Source: RNAcentral